UACGGGGGGAGCAAGCGUUGUUCGGAUUUACUGGGCGUAAAGGGCGCGUAGGCGGCGCCGCAAGUCGGUUGUGAAAUCUCUGGGCUUAACCCAGAAAGGUCAACCGAUACUGCGGGGCUAGAGUGCAGAAGGGGCAACUGGAAUUCUCGGUGUAGCGGUGAAAUGCGUAGAUAUCGAGAGGAACACCUGCGGCGAAGGCGGGUUGCUGGGCUGACACUGACGCUGAAGCGCGAAAGCUAGGGGAGCGAACGGG
RNAcentral lists this ribosomal RNA (253 nucleotides) under uncultured Acidobacteriota bacterium. RNAcentral describes it as "uncultured Acidobacteria bacterium partial 16S ribosomal RNA". It matches the Rfam family "Bacterial small subunit ribosomal RNA", at positions 524 to 776 of the family's 1533-position model. The record is from RNAcentral. Lineage: Bacteria; Pseudomonadati; Acidobacteriota.